Long non-coding RNA from Fukomys damarensis (Damara mole-rat), 515 nucleotides. RefSeq lists it as uncharacterized. The record is from RefSeq and is a predicted model, not a curated record. Lineage: Eukaryota; Metazoa; Chordata; Mammalia; Rodentia; Bathyergidae. The transcript has 3 exons.
ACAGGACGAGCAGACAGGACCACCCACACUAAAUCCAAAAAGGGCAGCUGGUCAAGUAGAGGCAGCAUCAGCAAAGUAGUCCUAACUCGGUAUCCUAGCCAUAAAGAAGACAGACCUGAAUUGCACGAAAAGCUUGUUACUCUCUGAAAAGCUUAAAAAUGCUUGUUAGCUAUCAGAUGAAGGAUGAGAAACAAAAGGCAUGGAUUAGAGUGAUGUGUGAAGGGCCAUUUUUCUGCGAACCUAGAGAGGACUACAAAGUACUCACCAGAAGCCCUGCUGACAGAGGUCUUACCUCACAUUUGGGAAAGCCUAUUGCUCAGAAGAAAACCCCGUGUUUCUGCGCAUGCAAAGCCUUGAUGAGGUUUUGAGAAGAAAAGAGUGUGUCAGAGCGAAACCACACGGAGGCUGUCAAAGCUUUGAAUCUUCCUCUCAAAAAAGCAACAUUCUGAUGUGUUCUUACUUGUUGAGGGCAGCAGUUCAACAAACUUCCCCCUAAGUCUUUCAGUGAAAUAUCU